RNAcentral lists this ribosomal RNA (539 nucleotides) under uncultured Bacteroidota bacterium. Its description in RNAcentral is "bacterial SSU rRNA". It matches the Rfam family "Bacterial small subunit ribosomal RNA", at positions 64 to 593 of the family's 1533-position model. Lineage: Bacteria; Pseudomonadati; Bacteroidota. The record is from RNAcentral.
AAGGGGCAGCGGGGUUGAAGCUUGCUUCAACUGCCGGCGACCGGCGCACGGGUGAGUAACACGUAUCCAACCUUCCGUUUACUCAGGGACAGCCUUUCGAAAGAAAGAUUAAUACCUGAUAGUAUCGAGAGAUUGCAUGAUAGCCCGAUUAAAGAUUAAUCGGUAAACGAUGGGGAUGCGUUCCAUUAGCUUGUUGGCGGGGUAACGGCCCACCAAGGCAACGAUGGAUAGGGGUUCUGAGAGGAAGGUCCCCCACAUUGGAACUGAGACACGGUCCAAACUCCUACGGGAGGCAGCAGUGAGGAAUAUUGGUCAAUGGGCGAGAGCCUGAACCAGCCAAGUAGCGUGAAGGAUGAAGGUUCUAUGGAUUGUAAACUUCUUUUAUACGGGAAUAAAACCUCCCACGUGUGGGAGCUUGUAUGUACCGUAUGAAUAAGCAUCGGCUAACUCCGUGCCAGCAGCCGCGGUAAUACAGAGGAUGCGAGCGUUAUCCGGAUUUAUUGCCCCAAAGGGAGCGCAGACGGGAGAUUAAGUCAGCU